RNAcentral lists this transfer RNA (75 nucleotides) under Gallionellaceae bacterium. RNAcentral describes it as "tRNA-Lys". It matches the Rfam family "tRNA". Rfam says of the family: Transfer RNA (tRNA) molecules are approximately 80 nucleotides in length. Their secondary structure includes four short double-helical elements and three loops (D, anti-codon, and T loops). Further hydrogen bonds mediate the characteristic L-shaped molecular structure. tRNAs have two regions of fundamental functional importance: the anti-codon, which is responsible for specific mRNA codon recognition, and the 3' end, to which the tRNAs corresponding amino acid is attached (by aminoacyl-tRNA synthetases). tRNAs cope with the degeneracy of the genetic code in two manners: having more than one tRNA (with a specific anti-codon) for a particular amino acid; and 'wobble' base-pairing, i.e. permitting non-standard base-pairing at the 3rd anti-codon position. The record is from RNAcentral. Lineage: Bacteria; Pseudomonadati; Pseudomonadota; Betaproteobacteria; Nitrosomonadales; Gallionellaceae.
GGGAAUAUGGUGUAACGGCUGCACAGCUCCCUUUUAAGGAGCCAAGUCUGGGUUCAAAUCCCAGUGUUCCCACCA